Molecule: unclassified non-coding RNA, 391 nt
Filed under: Hevea brasiliensis (rubber tree)
Lineage: Eukaryota; Viridiplantae; Streptophyta; Magnoliopsida; Malpighiales; Euphorbiaceae
Source: RNAcentral
CAAAUGGCUUCAUUACCAUAUUUCAUCAGUUGUUCCAGUCCUCCUCAUCCCGAUUCCACCUUGUUUCGAGCUCCUAUCAAUGGCGGAAGAGUCCGCGCCUGUCUUAGCGUAGAGCUACAAGGACCCCGUUCGACGAAGCUUCGAAAAGGGGAACUGGGUUGCUCGAGCGAGGAAGUGAUCGAUUCAGAAAGGAAGCUUUUCGUCGGAACCUACGCUCGAGCGCCGGUGGUUCUCUCGAGCGGUAAAGGAUGUAAACUGUACGAUCUCGAAGGGCGAGAGUAUUUAGAUAUGGCGGCCGGAAUCGCCGUCAAUUCCCUAGGUCAUGGUGAUCCCGAUUGGCUACAAGCAGUAACAGAGCAGGCGGGCCUGCCGGAGUUCGAGAUUCCAGGAG